CGUCCACACAGGGAGUCAAACCCUGAUCUAAGGUUUCGUAGACCUUUGUUCUUUCAUUAAACUAUGCAGAC
RNAcentral lists this transfer RNA (71 nucleotides) under Terrestrivirus sp. Its description in RNAcentral is "tRNA-Arg". The record is from RNAcentral. Lineage: Varidnaviria; Bamfordvirae; Nucleocytoviricota; Megaviricetes; Imitervirales; Mimiviridae.